AGCAGCCGCGGUAAUUCCAGCUCCAAUAGCGUAUAUUAAAGUUGUUGCAGUUAAAAAGCUCGUAGUUGAACUUCGGGAUCAAUAGAUUGGUCAUGCCGAUGGUGUGUACUGGUCAUAUUGGUUCUCACCUUCUAAGGAACCAUAAUGUCAUUUAUUUGAUGUUGUGGGGAAUUAGGACUGUUACCUUGAAAAAUUAGAGUGUUUAAAGCAGGCUAACGCUUGAAUACAUUAGCAUGGAAUAAUGAAAUAGGACAUCGCAUUCUAUUUUGUUGGUUUCUAGGAUCGAUGUAAUGAUUAAUAGGGAUAGUUGGGGGCAUUAGUAUUCAAUUGUCAGAGGUGAAAUUCUUGGAUUUAUUGAAGACUAACUACUGCGAAAGCAUUUGCCAAGGAUGUUUUCAUUAAUCAAGAACGAAAGUUAGGGGAUCGAAGACGAUCAGAUACCGUCGUAGU
Molecule: ribosomal RNA, 450 nt
Filed under: uncultured Glomus
Lineage: Eukaryota; Fungi; Glomeromycota; Glomeromycetes; Glomerales; Glomeraceae
Description: SSU rRNA
Rfam family: Eukaryotic small subunit ribosomal RNA
Source: RNAcentral